Molecule: ribosomal RNA, 301 nt
Filed under: uncultured bacterium
Lineage: Bacteria
Description: partial 16S ribosomal RNA
Rfam family: Bacterial small subunit ribosomal RNA
Source: RNAcentral
CAGUAGCCGCGGGAAAACGAAGGGGGCUAGCGUUGCUCGGAAUGACUGGGCGUAAAGGGCGCGUAGGCGGAUUGUUUAGUUAGGCGUGAAAUUCCUGGGCUUAACCUGGGGACUGCGCUUAAUACAGGCAGUCUAGAGUGAGGAAGAGGGUUGUGGAAUUCCCAGUGUAGAGGUGAAAUUCGUAGAUAUUGGGAAGAACACCGGUGGCGAAGGCGGCCAUCCGGGACAACACUGACGCUGAGGCACGAAAGCGUGGGGAGCAAACAGGAUUAGAUACCCGAGUAGUCCCUGUCUCUUAUCA